This 2900-nucleotide ribosomal RNA is filed under the name Klebsiella pneumoniae. RNAcentral's name for it is "bacterial LSU rRNA". It matches the Rfam family "Bacterial large subunit ribosomal RNA". Lineage: Bacteria; Pseudomonadati; Pseudomonadota; Gammaproteobacteria; Enterobacterales; Enterobacteriaceae. The record is from RNAcentral.
UUAAGCGACUAAGCGUACACGGUGGAUGCCCUGGCAGUCAGAGGCGAUGAAGGACGUGCUAAUCUGCGAAAAGCGUCGGUAAGGUGAUAUGAACCGUUAUAACCGGCGAUGUCCGAAUGGGGAAACCCAGUGUGAUUCGUCACACUAUCGUUAACUGAAUACAUAGGUUAACGAGGCGAACCGGGGGAACUGAAACAUCUAAGUACCCCGAGGAAAAGAAAUCAACCGAGAUUCCCCCAGUAGCGGCGAGCGAACGGGGAGCAGCCCAGAGUCUGAAUCAGCUUGUGUGUUAGUGGAACGGUCUGGAAAGUCCGACGGUACAGGGUGAUAGUCCCGUACACCAAAAUGCACAGGUUGUGAACUCGAAGAGUAGGGCGGGACACGUGGUAUCCUGUCUGAAUAUGGGGGGACCAUCCUCCAAGGCUAAAUACUCCUGACUGACCGAUAGUGAACCAGUACCGUGAGGGAAAGGCGAAAAGAACCCCGGCGAGGGGAGUGAAAAAGAACCUGAAACCGUGUACGUACAAGCAGUGGGAGCACCUUCGGGUGUGACUGCGUACCUUUUGUAUAAUGGGUCAGCGACUUAUAUUCUGUAGCAAGGUUAACCGUAUAGGGGAGCCGCAGGGAAACCGAGUCUUAACUGGGCGUUAAGUUGCAGGGUAUAGACCCGAAACCCGGUGAUCUAGCCAUGGGCAGGUUGAAGGUUGGGUAACACUAACUGGAGGACCGAACCGACUAAUGUUGAAAAAUUAGCGGAUGACUUGUGGCUGGGGGUGAAAGGCCAAUCAAACCGGGAGAUAGCUGGUUCUCCCCGAAAGCUAUUUAGGUAGCGCCUCGUGAACUCAUCUUCGGGGGUAGAGCACUGUUUCGGCUAGGGGGUCAUCCCGACUUACCAACCCGAUGCAAACUACGAAUACCGAAGAAUGUUAUCACGGGAGACACACGGCGGGUGCUAACGUCCGUCGUGAAGAGGGAAACAACCCAGACCGCCAGCUAAGGUCCCAAAGUCAUGGUUAAGUGGGAAACGAUGUGGGAAGGCACAGACAGCCAGGAUGUUGGCUUAGAAGCAGCCAUCAUUUAAAGAAAGCGUAAUAGCUCACUGGUCGAGUCGGCCUGCGCGGAAGAUGUAACGGGGCUAAACCAUGCACCGAAGCUGCGGCAGCGACACUAUGUGUUGUUGGGUAGGGGAGCGUUCUGUAAGCCUGCGAAGGUGACCUGUGAGGGUUGCUGGAGGUAUCAGAAGUGCGAAUGCUGACAUAAGUAACGAUAAAGCGGGUGAAAAGCCCGCUCGCCGGAAGACCAAGGGUUCCUGUCCAACGUUAAUCGGGGCAGGGUGAGUCGACCCCUAAGGCGAGGCCGAAAGGCGUAGUCGAUGGGAAACAGGUUAAUAUUCCUGUACUUGGUGUUACUGCGAAGGGGGGACGGAGAAGGCUAUGUUAGCCGGGCGACGGUUGUCCCGGUUUAAGCAUGUAGGCUGAUUAUCCAGGCAAAUCCGGAUAAUCAAGGCUGAGGUGUGAUGACGAGGCACUACGGUGCUGAAGUAACAAAUGCCCUGCUUCCAGGAAAAGCCUCUAAGCAUCAGGUAACAUCAAAUCGUACCCCAAACCGACACAGGUGGUCAGGUAGAGAAUACCAAGGCGCUUGAGAGAACUCGGGUGAAGGAACUAGGCAAAAUGGUGCCGUAACUUCGGGAGAAGGCACGCUGGUGUGUAGGUGAAGCCCCUGCGGGUGGAGCUGAGACCAGUCGAAGAUACCAGCUGGCUGCAACUGUUUAUUAAAAACACAGCACUGUGCAAACACGAAAGUGGACGUAUACGGUGUGACGCCUGCCCGGUGCCGGAAGGUUAAUUGAUGGGGUUAUCCGUAAGGAGAAGCUCUUGAUCGAAGCCCCGGUAAACGGCGGCCGUAACUAUAACGGUCCUAAGGUAGCGAAAUUCCUUGUCGGGUAAGUUCCGACCUGCACGAAUGGCGUAAUGAUGGCCAGGCUGUCUCCACCCGAGACUCAGUGAAAUUGAACUCGCUGUGAAGAUGCAGUGUACCCGCGGCAAGACGGAAAGACCCCGUGAACCUUUACUAUAGCUUGACACUGAACAUUGAGCCUUGAUGUGUAGGAUAGGUGGGAGGCUUUGAAGCGUGGACGCCAGUCUGCGUGGAGCCAACCUUGAAAUACCACCCUUUAAUGUUUGAUGUUCUAACGUUGGCCCCUGACCGGGGUUGCGGACAGUGUCUGGUGGGUAGUUUGACUGGGGCGGUCUCCUCCCAAAGCGUAACGGAGGAGCACGAAGGUUAGCUAAUCCUGGUCGGACAUCAGGAGGUUAGUGCAAUGGCAUAAGCUAGCUUGACUGCGAGCGUGACGGCGCGAGCAGGUGCGAAAGCAGGUCAUAGUGAUCCGGUGGUUCUGAAUGGAAGGGCCAUCGCUCAACGGAUAAAAGGUACUCCGGGGAUAACAGGCUGAUACCGCCCAAGAGUUCAUAUCGACGGCGGUGUUUGGCACCUCGAUGUCGGCUCAUCACAUCCUGGGGCUGAAGUAGGUCCCAAGGGUAUGGCUGUUCGCCAUUUAAAGUGGUACGCGAGCUGGGUUUAGAACGUCGUGAGACAGUUCGGUCCCUAUCUGCCGUGGGCGCUGGAGAAUUGAGGGGGGCUGCUCCUAGUACGAGAGGACCGGAGUGGACGCAUCACUGGUGUUCGGGUUGUCAUGCCAAUGGCACUGCCCGGUAGCUAAAUGCGGAAGAGAUAAGUGCUGAAAGCAUCUAAGCACGAAACUUGCCCCGAGAUGAGUUCUCCCUGAGACUUUAAGUCUCCUGAAGGAACGUUAAAGACGAUGACGUUGAUAGGCCGGGUGUGUAAGCGCAGCGAUGCGUUGAGCUAACCGGUACUAAUGAACCGUGAGGCUUAACCUU